RNAcentral lists this transfer RNA (71 nucleotides) under Helianthus annuus (common sunflower). It matches the Rfam family "tRNA". From Rfam's summary of the family: Transfer RNA (tRNA) molecules are approximately 80 nucleotides in length. Their secondary structure includes four short double-helical elements and three loops (D, anti-codon, and T loops). Lineage: Eukaryota; Viridiplantae; Streptophyta; Magnoliopsida; Asterales; Asteraceae. The record is from RNAcentral.
GACUCUGUGGCCAAUGGAUAAGGCGCUGGUCUACGAAACCAGAGAUUCUGGGUCGAUCCCCAGCAGAGUCG